CAGCGUCGCGAUGCUGAUCGCGCUCGGGGUCGAGCGCAACAGAAGCGCCAGCAACGCACCGAACAUCUGACACGCAAGGAUAAACAACAGCCCGGCCGACAGGAGCCAGCGGCUACCGUGCAACGGCAGGUCGAAAUAGCCGAACAGCCACAGAUCCGACAGACCGAGCACGGCCAGAAAGACGAGGGUGAGUGGCAGUAUUUU
This 204-nucleotide unclassified non-coding RNA is filed under the name Hevea brasiliensis (rubber tree). Lineage: Eukaryota; Viridiplantae; Streptophyta; Magnoliopsida; Malpighiales; Euphorbiaceae. The record is from RNAcentral.